AGUGAACGCUGGCGGUAGGCCUAACACAUGCAAGUCGAACGGCAGCACAGUAAGAGCUUGCUCUUACGGGUGGCGAGUGGCGGACGGGUGAGGAAUACAUCGGAAUCUACUUUUUCGUGGGGGAUAACGUAGGGAAACUUACGCUAAUACCGCAUACGACCUACGGGUGAAAGCAGGGGAUCUUCGGACCUUGCGCGAUUGAAUGAGCCGAUGUCGGAUUAGCUAGUUGGCGGGGUAAAGGCCCACCAAGGCGACGAUCCGUAGCUGGUCUGAGAGGAUGAUCAGCCACACUGGAACUGAGGCACGGUCCAGGCUCCUUCGGGAGGCAGCAGUGGGGAAUAUUGGACAAUGGGCGCAAGCCUGGUCCAGCCAUACCGCGUGGGUGGAGAAGGCCUUCGGGUUGUAAAGCCCUUUUGUUGGGAAAGAAAAGCAGCAGGUUAAUACCCCGCUGUUCUGACGGUACCCAAAGAAUAAGCACCGGCUAACUUCGUG
RNAcentral lists this ribosomal RNA (492 nucleotides) under uncultured bacterium. RNAcentral describes it as "partial 16S ribosomal RNA". It matches the Rfam family "Bacterial small subunit ribosomal RNA", at positions 29 to 507 of the family's 1533-position model. The record is from RNAcentral.